Molecule: ribosomal RNA, 425 nt
Filed under: Pholcus sp. 'kohi' sensu Huber (2011)
Lineage: Eukaryota; Metazoa; Arthropoda; Arachnida; Araneae; Pholcidae
Description: partial 16S ribosomal RNA
Rfam family: Archaeal large subunit ribosomal RNA
Source: RNAcentral
UUCUUUAAGAAACAUUAUUUAAAGUAAGACCUGCUCAAUGAUUUUAAAUAGCCGCAGUCACCUGUGCUAAGGUAGCAUAAUAACUUGCUCUUUAAUUAAGAGAUCGUAUGAAAGGUUAUACACUAAAAGCAAGUUUCUUCUAAACAAAAUAAACUUAAAAUAAAAGUCAAAAUUCUUUUAAUUAAAGCGGGACGACAAGACCCUGAUAAACUUAUCAUUUAGUUGGGGAAACUAUUUAAAUAAUCUUUAACAUUAAUUCAUUACAUAACUUUAAAAUAAAAUUAAGCUUAGUUACUACAGGGAUAACAGCGCUAUUUCUUUUAAGAGAUCUUAUCUAAAAAGAAGUUUACGACCUCGAUGUUGAAUUAAUUAUUCUUUAAGGUGCAAUAACUUUAAAAGACAGUCUGUUCGACUAUUAAAAAAUU